This 244-nucleotide ribosomal RNA is filed under the name uncultured bacterium. RNAcentral's name for it is "partial 16S ribosomal RNA". It matches the Rfam family "Bacterial small subunit ribosomal RNA", at positions 796 to 1041 of the family's 1533-position model. The record is from RNAcentral.
CACGCAGUAAACGAUGAUUACUAGGAGUUUGCGAUAGACAGUAAGCUCCCGAGCGAAAGCGUUAAGUAAUCCACCUGGGGAGUACGCCGGCAACGGUGAAACUCAAAGGAAUUGACGGGGGCCCGCACAAGCGGAGGAACAUGUGGUUUAAUUCGAUGAUACGCGAGGAACCUUACCCGGGCUCGAACGGUGCAGGAAUACAGGAGAGAUUCUGUAGCAUAGCAAUAUGUCUGCAUCGAGGUGC